RNAcentral lists this transfer RNA (72 nucleotides) under Gloeobacter violaceus SpSt-379. RNAcentral's name for it is "tRNA-Glu". It matches the Rfam family "tRNA". Rfam says of the family: Transfer RNA (tRNA) molecules are approximately 80 nucleotides in length. Their secondary structure includes four short double-helical elements and three loops (D, anti-codon, and T loops). Further hydrogen bonds mediate the characteristic L-shaped molecular structure. tRNAs have two regions of fundamental functional importance: the anti-codon, which is responsible for specific mRNA codon recognition, and the 3' end, to which the tRNAs corresponding amino acid is attached (by aminoacyl-tRNA synthetases). tRNAs cope with the degeneracy of the genetic code in two manners: having more than one tRNA (with a specific anti-codon) for a particular amino acid; and 'wobble' base-pairing, i.e. permitting non-standard base-pairing at the 3rd anti-codon position. The record is from RNAcentral. Lineage: Bacteria; Bacillati; Cyanobacteriota; Cyanophyceae; Gloeobacterales; Gloeobacteraceae.
GGCUCCAUCGGCUAUGGGUUAGGCCGCAACUCUUUCAAAGUUGAGAAGCGGGUUCAAGUCCCGCUGGAGCCA